CGGGUGAGUAACACGUGGGUAAUCUUCCCUUGAGCGGUGGAUAACAUUCCGAAAGGAGUGCUAAUACAGCAUAAGACCACGACCUCGAAAGGGGUUGAGGUAAAAGACGGCCUCUAUAUAUAAGCUGUCACUUGGGGAUGAGCCCGCGGCCCAUCAGCUAGUUGGUAGGGUAAUGGCCUACCAAGGCGAAGACGGGUAGCUGGUCUGAGAGGAUGAUCAGCCACACUGGAACUGAGACACGGUCCAG
RNAcentral lists this ribosomal RNA (247 nucleotides) under uncultured bacterium. RNAcentral's name for it is "partial 16S ribosomal RNA". It matches the Rfam family "Bacterial small subunit ribosomal RNA", at positions 103 to 334 of the family's 1533-position model. The record is from RNAcentral.